GUUUCCGUAGUGUAGUGGUUAUCACGUGUGCUUCACACGCACAAGGUCCCCGGUUCGAGCCCGGGCGGGAACA
Molecule: non-coding RNA, 73 nt
Organism: Glossina austeni
Lineage: Eukaryota; Metazoa; Arthropoda; Insecta; Diptera; Glossinidae
Source: Rfam